UACAGAGGUCUCAAGCGUUGUUCGGAUUCAUUGGGCGUAAAGAGCUCGUAGGCGGUUUGUCGCGUCUGCUGUGAAAUCCCGAGGCUCAACCUCGGGCCUGCAGUGGGUACGGGCAGACUUGAGUGGUGUAGGGGAGACUGGAAUUCCUGGUGUAGCGGUGGAAUGCGCAGAUAUCAGGAGGAACACCGAUGGCGAAGGCGGGUCUCUGGGCAGUAACUGACGCUGAGGAGCGAAAGCGUGGGGAGCGAACAGG
RNAcentral lists this ribosomal RNA (253 nucleotides) under uncultured bacterium. RNAcentral describes it as "partial 16S ribosomal RNA". It matches the Rfam family "Bacterial small subunit ribosomal RNA", at positions 524 to 776 of the family's 1533-position model. The record is from RNAcentral.